RNAcentral lists this ribosomal RNA (381 nucleotides) under uncultured Devosia sp. RNAcentral describes it as "bacterial SSU rRNA". It matches the Rfam family "Bacterial small subunit ribosomal RNA", at positions 99 to 508 of the family's 1533-position model. The record is from RNAcentral. Lineage: Bacteria; Pseudomonadati; Pseudomonadota; Alphaproteobacteria; Hyphomicrobiales; Devosiaceae.
CAGACGGGGUGAGUAAAUACAUGGGGGAAAAUCUACCCUUGCAGAGCGAAAUAACAGUUGGAAGCAAUUGCUAAUGUCGCAUAUAGCCGAGAGGUGAAAGAUUUAUCGCUGCAAGACGAGCCCAUGCAGGAUUAGCUAGUUGUGGGGUAAUGGCUCAACCAAGGCAACGAUCUUUAGUUGGUCUGAGAGGAUGAUCAGCCACACUGGAACUGAGACACGGUCCAGACUCCUACGGGAGGCAGCAGUGGGGAAUAUUGGACAAUGGGCGUAAGCCCUGAUCCAGCGACGCCGCGUGAGUGAAGAAGGCCUUCGGGUUGUAAAGUUCUUUAGUGGGGAAGAUAAUGACGGUACCCACAGAAAAAGCCCCGGCUAACUUCGUGC